Molecule: ribosomal RNA, 493 nt
Filed under: uncultured bacterium
Lineage: Bacteria
Description: partial 16S ribosomal RNA
Rfam family: Bacterial small subunit ribosomal RNA
Source: RNAcentral
AUUGAACGCUGGUGGCAUGCUUAACACAUGCAAGUCGAACGGUUUCUGUAGCUUGCUAUAGAGACGAGUGGCGGACGGGUGAGUAAUACAUAGGAAUCUGCCCUUGAGCGGGGGACAACUUAGGGAAACUUAAGCUAAUACCGCAUAAGAUCCACGGAUGAAAGCUGGCGCAAGCUGGCGCUGUAGGAUGAGCCUAUGUCGGAUUAGCUAGAUGGUGGGGUAAAGGCCUACCAAGGCGACGAUCCGUAGCUGUUCUGAGAGGAAGAUCAGCCACACUGGGACUGAGACACGGCCCAGACUCCUACGGGAGGCAGCAGUGGGGAAUAUUGGACAAUGGGGGCAACCCUGAUCCAGCAAUGCCACGUGUGUGAAGAAGGCCUGAGGGUUGUAAAGCACUUUUGUGGGGGAAGAAGUUUAUUAGGUUAAGAGCUAAAUGAAUUGACAUUACCCCAAGAAAAAGCACCGGCUAACUCUGUGCCAGCCGCCGCAGUAA